UACGUAGGGUGCAAGCGUUGUCCGGAAUUAUUGGGCGUAAAGAGCUCGUAGGCGGUCUGUCGCGUCUGGUGUGAAAAUCCAGGGCUUAACCCUGGACCUGCAUCGGGUACGGGCAGACUAGAGUGCGGUAGGGGAGAUCGGAAUUCCUGGUGUAGCGGUGAAAUGCGCAGAUAUCAGGAGGAACACCGGUGGCGAAGGCGGGUCUCUGGGCCGUAACUGACGCUGAGGAGCGAAAGCAUGGGGAGCGAACAGG
Molecule: ribosomal RNA, 253 nt
Filed under: uncultured bacterium
Lineage: Bacteria
Description: partial 16S ribosomal RNA
Rfam family: Bacterial small subunit ribosomal RNA
Source: RNAcentral